Molecule: ribosomal RNA, 237 nt
Filed under: uncultured bacterium
Lineage: Bacteria
Description: partial 16S ribosomal RNA
Rfam family: Bacterial small subunit ribosomal RNA
Source: RNAcentral
GAUCCUGCUCAGGACGAACGCUGGCGGCGUGCUUAACACAUGCAAGUCGAACGAGAAUCUACUGAAAGAGUUUUCGGACAAUGGAUGUAGAGGAAAGUGGCGGACGGGUGAGUAACGCGUGAGGAACCUGCCUUGAAGAGGGGGACAACAGUUGGAAACGACUGCUAAUACCGCAUAACGCAUAGGGGUCGCAUGAUCUUUAUGCCAAAGAUUUAUUGCUUCAAGAUGGCCUCGCGU